AAAGACUACUGUGCCAUCCUUAGGAGGAUCAAGGGUGGGCAUGGGACCAAAAAUGGAGUGUAACUUGCAAGAGAAAGGGAAAUGAAUGCUGGAUGGCCAAAAGUACCAGAAACAUAUAGACGUCAUCUAUCUCAUUUCUGGUCCCUUCUUCCACCGGUUGCUUAUUUUAGAAAGCUUGAGUCCUUUCUCUUCUUUUUUCUUCUAUCCCCAAUUUCCAUGACUUUUUUAUUAAUCAACUUCCUAAAUACCUUUCUCAUCCAUCUACUUUCCUCCAUUCCCAUUUUAAUGUCUCAUCUUGCCCAGGCUGCUUCAAUGUCCUCAGUAGCAGUUGGAAGUCAGAAGCCUCACCUGAUAUGUUAACAGAAAUGGAAUAAAAUAGUUAUUCACUCUGUAACUAAAAGGAUAAAAAGUGAACUUUAAAGAGUCUUGGAACAGCAGCUGCAGGAAGCAAGUACCAUUUCUAGGCCUGGGGGAUAUAAGAAGUGUUUGGAAGUACCACAACUUAGAAGCAUGGAGAAGGGGUCCCAUGGAGCUGAAAUUCAGAGCAUUGAAGAGGAGCCCUGGCCAGUUCUGUUUAAUGAGGAAGGGGGUGAAAACCCAAAUUUGUUAUCAUCGUUUUCGCUUUCCCAUCAAGAAAGGAACAUCCUUUCUGCUCCUGUUUUCCACACAGCUCAGAGAAGAGAGGGGUUAACACUGUGUGUCUGGUUUGCAACGGAGUCAAAUGCCUCAUUUGGACAUCUCUCUGCCUCGCAUGGAGGGAACUGCCCACGCCCACGUCACCCCAGACUCUGUGAUGGCAAAAGUGUGAUUCCGAGAGUCACUUAUUACCGCUAAUUGGGAGGGACAGUUCAAAUAAGCACAGAGGAGCAGUUAUCACAUGAGCGUGACAUGGUUUUAAAGGGGCCUUCCUGCAUCCCUGAACUCCCACAGCAGGCUGGCUGGCCGCCUGGGCCUCAGGCCUCCAGAGAGCGGAGGCUUUGUCAGGGCGCCCCAUAGAAGUCCGCAGCCUAAGAAAGCUCGGUUUGGCAAGUCACCGGAGGGAGCCACAGACGCGCAGCUGCCUGGGACACUUAGAAAGUCAACAGCUGACGGAAGGGGAGGACUCUGAGUUUGGCUGUAAGUGGACUUGAAGAUGUGAUUGGAAUUAAUUUGCAGAACAUAGAGGAUGUGUUCUUUAAAGGGCCCAAUUGGUUUUAGAGAACAUUCAUUUGUAUGAGUGUUCAAAUAUUAAUAAAG
This 1236-nucleotide long non-coding RNA is filed under the name Vulpes vulpes (red fox). Its description in RNAcentral is "lncRNA (ENSVVUG00000012210.1)". Lineage: Eukaryota; Metazoa; Chordata; Mammalia; Carnivora; Canidae. The record is from RNAcentral.